This is a long non-coding RNA of Mirounga angustirostris (Northern elephant seal), 432 nucleotides long. RefSeq lists it as uncharacterized. The record is from RefSeq and is a predicted model, not a curated record. The transcript is spliced from 2 exons. NCBI's taxonomy places the organism in Eukaryota, Metazoa, Chordata, Mammalia, Carnivora, Phocidae.
GGGCGGGGCGGUGGUUCUCCUCGCGUGACGCCCUUCCCGCGCCGCAGCUCCGUUCCGCGGAGACGGAGCCAGAGACGGACGGAGCGGCCCCGAGCCGGAGACCCGACAGUGAGAUCGCUUGCCGGGCGCCCCACCGCCAGCUCGCCGCAUACCAGCUACACGUAGAGUGGUAGCACGUCACCAUGCUGAUGGUGGUGAUUCCCAACAGCUAGCUCUGUUGGAAACCUAUUUGCAGUGUGUCAGGCAUUGUGCUAAAACCUUACCAGGCAAGGUGGAUACGCUACCUUCACAGAUGAAGAAAUCAAGACUUCCGGAGGUGACAUAAUUUUCCUCAAUCACAUCAUCAACUAAUGGCAGAGCUAGAACACAAAAGCAGUUCUCUUUCUAACUACUAUGUGGCUAACCUGUAAAUAAAAUGUUGAUGAUGAAUUA